RNAcentral lists this transfer RNA (76 nucleotides) under Felis catus (domestic cat). It matches the Rfam family "tRNA". Rfam says of the family: Transfer RNA (tRNA) molecules are approximately 80 nucleotides in length. Their secondary structure includes four short double-helical elements and three loops (D, anti-codon, and T loops). The record is from Rfam by way of RNAcentral. Lineage: Eukaryota; Metazoa; Chordata; Mammalia; Carnivora; Felidae.
GCUCAGUAGGUUAAACAUCUGACUUUGGCUCAGGUCAUGAUCUCACGGUUCGUGGGUUCAAGCCCCACAUUGGGCU